GGAAAAUGAAAUGAACAGAUUUGAAGGAUGUUCUCGGAAACUUUUAAAUCGUAUUCAACAGGUUGAUAGCUCUUGCUGUACUGUAGAGGAAGCAGCUUCAUGUGGUAGGUGAAAAUAAGCUUAUAUAGAAUUACCGGAAGAUAAGGAAAUAGAUGGUGAUCUUGAAAAAUGCCACCUUACACAAAAAAAGAUCAAAGUUUCAAGAAAUAUGCGGAGACUUUGUACAGCAACUCCAUAGUGACGGGAGUUCCUGAAAUCGUUCAAGCUGGUGAUUGGCGUCUGAGACUGGUGAGACUGGCUGUUCUUUUAUCUUGUCUCACUGGUUUUGUAUAUCAGACGCAUAAUUUCUUGAAGUUCUAUUGGAAAUAUCCUACUAUAUUAGACAUACAGAUAUCUAGACUGGAGGAGAUUAUGAUGCCUGCUUUUACUGUAUGCGAUCCUAAUGGAAUUGUUCUUUCAAAAUACUGCAAAAGUUACCCCUGCAAAAAGCCAGUAGAGGAGCGAAGAUUUUGUAGAUGCUAUCCAGAAGGAAGAUACUGUGAAAGAAAGAGACUACAUCCAUUCGUGAAGGUUC
Molecule: long non-coding RNA, 574 nt
Organism: Stegodyphus dumicola
Lineage: Eukaryota; Metazoa; Arthropoda; Arachnida; Araneae; Eresidae
Source: RefSeq, a predicted model, not a curated record